GCGCCCGCCGCGCGCGGCGGGCUACGGGAGGCAGCAGUGGGGAAUCUUCCGCAAUGGACGAAAGUCUGACGGAGCAACGCCGCGUGAGUGAAGAAGUAUUUCGGUAUGUAAAACUCUAUCAGCAGGGAAGAUAGUGACGGUACCUGACUAAGAAGCACCGGCUAAAUACGUGCCAGCAGCCGCGGUAAUA
RNAcentral lists this ribosomal RNA (190 nucleotides) under uncultured bacterium. RNAcentral's name for it is "partial 16S ribosomal RNA". It matches the Rfam family "Bacterial small subunit ribosomal RNA", at positions 309 to 525 of the family's 1533-position model. The record is from RNAcentral.